GGGAAUAUUGGGCAAUGGGCGCAAGCCUGACCCAGCAACGCCGCGUGAAGGAAGACGGCUUUCGGGUUGUAAACUUCUUUUCUCAGGGACGAAGAAAGUGACGGUACCUGAGGAAUAAGCCACGGCUAACUACGUGCCAGCAGCCGCGGUAAUACGUAGGGAGCGAGCGUUAUCCGGAAUUAUUGGGUGUAAAGCGUGUGUAGGCGGUUAAAUAAGUCUAAGGUUUAAGCCCGGAGCUCAACUCCGGAUCGCCUUAGAAACUGUAUAACUUGAGUAUGGUAGAGGUAAACGGAAUUUCUAGUGUAGCGGUAAAAUGCGUAGAUAUUAGAAGGAACACCAGUGGCGAAGGCGGUUUACUGGGCCACCACUGACGCUGAGACACGAAAGCGUGGGGAGCAAAUAGA
Molecule: ribosomal RNA, 404 nt
Filed under: uncultured bacterium
Lineage: Bacteria
Description: bacterial SSU rRNA
Rfam family: Bacterial small subunit ribosomal RNA
Source: RNAcentral